Triplophysa rosa is the source of this 5390-nucleotide long non-coding RNA. RefSeq lists it as uncharacterized. Lineage: Eukaryota; Metazoa; Chordata; Actinopteri; Cypriniformes; Nemacheilidae. The transcript has 3 exons. The record is from RefSeq and is a predicted model, not a curated record.
GGGUAUAAUAACACUGAAUCAGGUUUUGUAAAACCCAAGAGAGGACUACGCACUCCCCUUCCCAGAAGAUUUAAUUUGGAUCAGACUCAAAAACCGAGAGAACCUCGUGGAUUUGUUUACAUUGAAUGGCAAAGUAGGGCCACCGCCACGGGGCUGUCUAUUCAUUAAUUUCCAGUGGAUUUUGGUCUAAAUUACUGCUAUGCAUUUCAUACUGCUCGCUUUCAAAGGGCGUCUCUGCGGCCAUGAGAAACGUGAUAUCCAGUGUGAGGGAAAGGAUUCACUCACUCUGAGGAGCCAAAGCAAUUUCAAAUGUUCAAGCUUUCAACUUUUGAAGUUUAAUGUUUUUAUCUGAAAAGUAGGCUGUUUAUUAUUUAUUUGUUUAUGUAACAAGGUCCCCGUGUUCCCUGCUGGGGAGAUCAUUUGUUUUCUGUGCAAGUAGAGAGAGAAAAAUCCCCAAGUAUAACAAGAGACGAACAGUUAGUGCUGAUUUUCAUUUGCAUAAAUUUUCAUAUAUUUUAGUGAAAAUAAUAGCGGUGCAGAGGAGAGCUCCGCUCAGUUGAGUCAGAGGGAAGAAAAUCUUAGGAAGGACCAAAUCGGAGGGAGAGAGUCGGUCACUGAUGGACGAACAAUGCAGUAUUUGAGACAUUUUUUUCUGUUAUCAUGGAAUAACACGAAGACUCUUCCACCUUCCCUCCCACCUCUGGACAGGGGGUGUCUACGACAGCCCCAGAUUCAUUCUGCUGCAUUGGGACGAGGGACAGAGUGGCCAUGCUGUGAGCGCCGGCGUACACACACACGCACGCACACACGCACUUCUUCCGUUUUCAGCUUACACUGCUGCUGGAGUUCUUAGCCUGCUGGCUAUUUUCUUUGAGAGACUAUAAAAAUAUGCAAAUGCUGUUGUUAAAGAGAGAAUUUGAGUUUUUUUUUUCUGCUUGCGCUCAUUGUGAGACUGCAUAGCAAAAUGCAGAAGUAUUAUACUUUUAGUCCAUCUCUUUGCUUAUAGAAAGACCGUGAACAAAUUAAAAGGAGCUACUGCGAUAGGUUAAUUGAAAUGUCAUGACUGAAGUCAGCAACAAAACAAACAAACAAAAUCUGUUGUCACAGAUUUAACGCUCUCUUCCACUCUCUAAAGUUCUCAUCAUGGCGGACAAGCUUGAAAAACAGAGCGUCAGACCCUUGAAAAGUGCAGGAAAAAGUAUGGGGCGAAUUUGUAAACCCCUCACGGUGCCGAGAACACUUUUUGAAGUGAUUAUGAAGACAGUUCAGAUCAAAGGCUUUGACAACUCUGAGUGCCCGCCAAAACUGAGCCCCUGUAAUCGCACAGAGCCCUCCGUACAACACAGCUCACACCCCUCAAGCACCCGGCAGAACGCAACGCCACACUCGCACAUACACAGAUUAUCAGGGGACAGAAAAUGGCUGGAAAGUAAAUACGGGAUUAGAGUUUUCAAUCUGAACAGCACCAAUAUAACCGAGGAGAUUAGCAUAACAUUUACAGGUAGAUAUUAAUUAUCAACAGCAGGGAGAUGAUGGAAAAAAAUCGGAAAUUAAAACUCUGCUUGGUACGUUCUUAUGUUUUAAAGAGCGGAUUGGCAUGUAACCUCGUUAUAUCUUAAAUAAUGUAUUCAACGUUAUUACAUUAUUCAAUGUACUACAAUGACUUUCUUAAUCCUUCGCAAAGACACCAGAGAAGUCAGGAAAAAAGAGAGGUAUUAAAAAGAGUGAGUGGAAAAGUGCUUUGUUGAAGUCAACAAACUCUUUUUAUUUCUAUAUAAUUAUGUGCUCUGCUGUGCAUAACUGCUUGGCAGCAUUGUAGCAAAUGUCCAUCACUGGCUCUAUUAGCCCUGCAGACAGACGGCCACUACAUUAAGCACAGUAUUUUGCUCACACUUUAGGAAAACACAAAAUAAACAAAACAUUAUCAGAGAUUUAAAGGGAUAAGUCUGUGUUAUAUCAGUAAAUAGGCUAUACUUUCUGAAAAAAUUCUGUCAUCAUUUACUCACCCUCUUGUCAUUUCAAACCUGUAUGAUUUUAUUUCCCCCUGCAGAACACAAAAACGACAUUUAAAAAAAAGUUAGAUUACCGAACAACCAUGGUUUCUAUUGACUUGCAUUAAUUUUGUGUCCAUACAAGAGAAGUCAAUGGGUAUUGCCGUUGUUGACCAAAAUUCUUCAAAAUAUCUUCUUUUGUCUUGACAAAAUUUUGAAAUGACAAGAGGGUGACUAAAUAAUGACAGAAUUUUCAUUUUUGGAUGAAUUAUCUUUUUAAAACAUUUUUGGAAUAUUUGAAAUUAGAUCAAUCUACUAAUUUCUUUCAUUCCAAAACAAUGUGUUAUUUUAAAAGUUAAAAAAAGGAUGAAUUAGACUAAAUAAUUAAGAAAAAUCAUUCAAUAAGAUGUCAGAAUAGCUAGAAACUCCUUGAAUACUGGUUAAUAAAAUGCAAAGAGUACACUUGCAAAUUCUAGGGGUGGCUACUUUGAACAUCCCUGGUGUCCUUCUGAAACCUUAUAUCUCCAUAUUUCGUGAUUAUUCUUUUUGCCAUAGAUCAUUAUUAUUAGUCACCCUUUAUGUUUGUUACUGGGGUUUGCAUAUGUAACCAAUAAAACGUAUUAGAAAGUGCUUGUCAACUUUGACAACCCAGUAGUACUCAUUUUAAAAGUACAGUGUUUUUCCAUUUCCUGAAAAACAGCACAUUUGGACAUACAGGGUUUCAGAAGGACUGCGACAAUAUGCUAAAAUACAACAAUUUUGAAUUAUUUUAAUUUUUAGCCACAACAUAAUUCCUAUAGUUACAUAGUUUUGAUGAAUUUAGUAUUAUUAGGUGUCCUUAAAAUUUGGAUGGUGAUGUUGGUCAGUAUAAACCUGUUUUUCACCAUUUCCGCUACUUGAUGAUGUUGUAUAGACAUUUAUUUAUUUCCGUUUUCCUAUUGUGUAUAUGUUUAUUGUUUUGUGGUGUCAUACUGGUGCUGAUGUGAAACAAUAAAGUGUGUGACAGCAAGUUCCCUCUCUGCCUCUUGUUUACGGUGCCACUCAGCGCCUCUCUCAGACUAACCGCUUGGUACAGUCGUCUCUGGAUCACUUCCAGAACCCUCGGGUUCCGAGUGGCCCGGUCUCUGAAGAGCAGCCAACAAACGGGCCUUUCAGUGUGGACAGCAGAUGGGGCGGGCCAGCCAGCCACUCGGAGGAACUUCUUGUGUCGCCAGACACAGAGAUUGAAUCCGCUUUUAUCUGCCAUCCCUCAGUGGACUACAAUGAGCCUUCCUGUGCACUUAACCACGAGAUAACACACACAUACAGAAAAGAAAUGUCUGACAGCUUGGUCACAGAGAACUGCAGGCUCUAUUGAUUGCCUGAUCAUUAGGAGUGACCAGCCAAGUGGCGACAUAGCUGCAGACGCUGUUAGCACCAGCAAAAACCAUCUGACCUCUCUUUAACGAACGGCCAUCGAGUGACCAGACCUACUCAUUGACCCAUAAUGGUCACCGUUAAGAUAACUACACCCAGCUGACGGCCGUUUCAUCGACUGCCACGGAUCCGCUUGGACUUGUGCGGUUGCCUUCGGAAGGUCUGACGUGGAUUUUUACGAGGAAAUGUAUUUCAUAUCUGAUGGUUUAGCAGAUGUCUGUAUGCAGAACAGUUGGCAGGUGUGUCUGCCAGUACAAUCCCACUGAUGAUACAGUUUACACUAGUCCGACACCCACUGCUGAAAGUCUGCGAGUGACACUGCUCACCUCCUGUUGCGCUAUUAGAAAGCACAGCUUCCAGUUCAGAGCCUCGCACCACCCUGAUAUGUGUGUGUGUGUGCGAAAGAGAGAGAGAGACAGUGUGAAAGGCAGGCGGAGGGGAGGAGAUGGAAAAGGCCACUGAUCAGUAAGUGAAUGAAGCGUUUCUCUGGUCAGUCCCUCUGAGGGGAAACACCCCGCCGAGGACUUUGUGGAAAUAAACUCGAUGAGGCGGUGAGUGUUUGACCUCACGUCUGUCCUCGCACCACCUUCGCCGCUCUCACGGCUGACUGACACCGACUACAUCCUGUCUGCAUCGAGUCACUUCCCGCCUGUCGUUACGUUGCCUGACCGACGUCUGUCAGAUGCUUUUUUAAUCUGUAACUAGUAUGUAUGUCAAAAUAGCUCGUUCCGUUACUGUUCCGCCAAUUUCCAUUCAUUCAGAUUUCAUUCCUUUUUAUUAGAUUGAAAUAAGGACCUUUACGUGGUAACCAACACCAUAUGAGCUUAGCAGCAUGAGAAACAUGCGAAAGCUGAGAGCUUUGAGUGGUUGCUCUGUAGAGAACAUGGAUAGUGGAGCUCCAGGGGGAAUAGACCCUUGUGGGGCAGCUGAAGGAACGAGGGGAAGAGCGGAAGCAGAUUGCAGGAGAAGGCGGUGGCUUUGAUGGUUGUAGGUAGCAGGUUUUUUCCCCGAACCGCUGCAGGAGACUCAAGCACGGGCCUCUACCGGCACAGGUGGUACUGCUCAUUUCAAUUUAGCUCAAAUCUACACUUGAAAUAGUGCGGCUGUCAUAAGCAAUCUGCGGCUCAGGACAGAGCACUGCCUCGGUCGAGGGGUGGUGAGAAGGGGGGUGUCAGUGUAGACUAUGUUGAGUUCUGAAGAAGAGGCUACUGCCAUAUGCCCUCCCCGCAACCUCCUCCCCCCACUUUCACUGUUACUUUACUCUACCAAGCACAUGUUCACCGCAGGUCCACUCAUCCAGAACAACACAAAGAGAGGUCAGAGCAGUCAACAAGUUAUUUACUGCAGGGGAGCUGCUGUGCCUCACACACCCCAUCUGCUUUCAGAGAUGAGACCGCAUCCCCCAUUAUGUAACAUUUUAUUUUCUUAUUGUUCUGACAAAAAGGUCUAACAUGCGCCCGUAGGUUUUCUGUGAUUGUGCUUCUUGUAUCUGAGAUAAAGCUCAUGGGCGUCAGGAACGCCACCAACCGACACCUUUGGUGUUUAAGGUCUUACCCGCUAUACGCAUUGAUGUUAGAAGAAAACACGGGGGCUUUGGUUAAUUCCACCACAGAUGCGCAAUAUAAAGAAUACAACUUCAGUAAAGCGGACACUGUAAUUAUUCUAACGCAUUGAACAGUUCUUAUGGGAUCUUUUUCUAAUUAGAUGCGUUAUUUACUAUUUUCAAUUCUGUUUUACUAAUUUAAAAUUAUGUUUGGGGCGGAUAUCUUGGGGUACCAACCACAUGCACAAGCCAAAUGUGUGUUUAUUUAAAAAUGUCAUAUUUUAAUUCAGGGGCAUUACUAGAACUAGGGUAGUGGAACUGUAGUCUUUUCUGGAUAAUGUUUUCAUGGUAGCUUAUGUGUUGCCAGCCUCUCUAUCAUCUGUUUGUCUGUCUAUUAAGAGUGGUCUUUAUCUUCUAAAACCUCAAAUUUGAAAAGAUUU